UACGGAGGGUGCAAGCGUUGUCCGGAUUCAUUGGGUUUAAAGGGUGCGCAGGUGGUGAGGUAAGUCGGAUGUGAAAUCUCCGAGCUCAACUCGGAAACUGCAUUGGAAACUACCUUGCUCGAGGGUUGGAGGGGGGACUGGAAUGCUUGGUGUAGCAGUGAAAUGCGUAGAUAUCAAGCGGAACACCAGUGGCGAAGGCGAGUCCCUGGACAACUCCUGACACUGAUGCACGAAAGCUAGGGGAGCAAACAGG
RNAcentral lists this ribosomal RNA (253 nucleotides) under uncultured bacterium. RNAcentral describes it as "partial 16S ribosomal RNA". It matches the Rfam family "Bacterial small subunit ribosomal RNA", at positions 524 to 776 of the family's 1533-position model. The record is from RNAcentral.